This 88-nucleotide ribosomal RNA is filed under the name Ruminococcus sp. AM31-15AC. The record is from RNAcentral. Lineage: Bacteria; Bacillati; Bacillota; Clostridia; Eubacteriales; Oscillospiraceae.
UGUUCCCAUGCCGAACACAGUAGUUAAGCUCUUCUUCGCCGAAAAUACUUGGAUGGUAACGUCCCGGUAAGAUAGGGUGCUGCCGACA